RNAcentral lists this ribosomal RNA (1727 nucleotides) under Yersinia pestis 710317. RNAcentral describes it as "bacterial LSU rRNA". It matches the Rfam family "Bacterial large subunit ribosomal RNA", at positions 1221 to 2925 of the family's 2925-position model. RNAcentral also lists the same sequence under 18 other names. The record is from RNAcentral. Lineage: Bacteria; Pseudomonadati; Pseudomonadota; Gammaproteobacteria; Enterobacterales; Yersiniaceae.
UUGUUGGGUAGGGGAGCGUUCUGUAAGCCGUUGAAGGUGACCUGUGAGGGUUGCUGGAGGUAUCAGAAGUGCGAAUGCUGACAUAAGUAACGAUAAUGCGGGUGAAAAACCCGCACGCCGGAAGACCAAGGGUUCCUGUCCAACGUUAAUCGGGGCAGGGUGAGUCGACCCCUAAGGCGAGGCUGAAAAGCGUAGUCGAUGGGAAACAGGUUAAUAUUCCUGUACUUGGUGUUACUGCGAAGGGGGGACGGAGAAGGCUAGGCUGGCCGGGCGACGGUUGUCCCGGUUUAAGCGUGUAGGGGGAGUGACCAGGUAAAUCCGGUUGCUUAUCAACCCUGAGGCGUGAUGACGAUGCACCACGGUGCAGAAGCAGUUGAUGCCAUGCUUCCAGGAAAAGCCUCUAAGCAUCAGGUAACAUUAAAUCGUACCCCAAACCGACACAGGUGGUCAGGUAGAGAAUACUCAGGCGCUUGAGAGAACUCGGGUGAAGGAACUAGGCAAAAUGGUGCCGUAACUUCGGGAGAAGGCACGCUGGCGUUAGGUGAAAGGACUAGCUCCUGGAGCUGAAGCCAGUCGCAGAUACCAGCUGGCUGCAACUGUUUAAUAAAAACACAGCACUGUGCAAACACGAAAGUGGACGUAUACGGUGUGACGCCUGCCCGGUGCUGGAAGGUUAAUUGAUGGGGUCAGCCGCAAGGCGAAGCUCUUGAUCGAAGCCCCAGUAAACGGCGGCCGUAACUAUAACGGUCCUAAGGUAGCGAAAUUCCUUGUCGGGUAAGUUCCGACCUGCACGAAUGGCGUAAUGAUGGCCAGGCUGUCUCCACCCGAGACUCAGUGAAAUUGAACUCGCUGUGAAGAUGCAGUGUACCCGCGGCAAGACGGAAAGACCCCGUGAACCUUUACUAUAGCUUGACACUGAACAUUGAGCCUUGAUGUGUAGGAUAGGUGGGAGGCCUUGAAGUGUGGACGCCAGUCUGCAUGGAGCCAACCUUGAAAUACCACCCUUUAAUGUUUGAUGUUCUAACUCGGCCCCAUGAUCUGGGGUGAGGACAGUGUCUGGUGGGUAGUUUGACUGGGGCGGUCUCCUCCCAAAGAGUAACGGAGGAGCACGAAGGUUAGCUAAUCACGGUCGGACAUCGUGAGGUUAGUGCAAAGGCAUAAGCUAGCUUGACUGCGAGAGUGACGGCUCGAGCAGGUACGAAAGUAGGUCUUAGUGAUCCGGUGGUUCUGAAUGGAAGGGCCAUCGCUCAACGGAUAAAAGGUACUCCGGGGAUAACAGGCUGAUACCGCCCAAGAGUUCAUAUCGACGGCGGUGUUUGGCACCUCGAUGUCGGCUCAUCACAUCCUGGGGCUGAAGUAGGUCCCAAGGGUAUGGCUGUUCGCCAUUUAAAGUGGUACGCGAGCUGGGUUUAGAACGUCGUGAGACAGUUCGGUCCCUAUCUGCCGUGGGCGUUGGAAGAUUGAGAGGGGCUGCUCCUAGUACGAGAGGACCGGAGUGGACGAAUCACUGGUGUUCGGGUUGUCAUGCCAAUGGCAUUGCCCGGUAGCUAAAUUCGGAAGAGAUAACCGCUGAAAGCAUCUAAGCGGGAAACUUGCCUCGAGAUGAGUCUUCCCUGGGGCUUAAAGCCCCCUGAAGGAACGUUAAAGACUAUGACGUUGAUAGGCUGGGUGUGUAAGUGCAGCGAUGUAUUGAGCUAACCAGUACUAAUGAUCCGUGAGGCUUAACC